This 363-nucleotide transfer-messenger RNA is filed under the name Brevundimonas sp. It matches the Rfam family "Alphaproteobacteria transfer-messenger RNA". From Rfam's summary of the family: Bacterial tmRNA, also known as 10Sa RNA or SsrA, is named for its dual tRNA and mRNA-like properties. Its role is to liberate the mRNA from a stalled ribosome. The record is from RNAcentral. Lineage: Bacteria; Pseudomonadati; Pseudomonadota; Alphaproteobacteria; Caulobacterales; Caulobacteraceae.
GUUAUUGGAUUUUCAUCCCUUCGCCCCUAUAUUGGGAAGGUCCGGGUUCGCCCGGACUAUGGCGAUAAAGGCGCUUGUAAUAAGCGGACCGGACCCGGGUGCGAUUCCCGGCGGCUCCACCAUUUCCCCCGCGUUAUCGGCGGAGAUCAUGGGGCCGACUAGCAUCGACGGACGUGUAAAGAAGAUUGCUUUCGCUCGUACUGGCCCAUCGUCAUCGGGCCGUUUUCUAACUGCGAACGAUAACUUCGCUGGGGAAUACGCUGUCGCCGCGUAAUGCGGUUCCGGUAAUUCCAAUCUAAACUCCUGGAGGUUCAGAUCUUCAGGCGGGGCCUGUCGGGAGCCUGGCAACAGAAUCCCGGCGCU